GAAUGGCAUAACGGUCUGAAAACUGUCUCUGGGAAAGGCUCGGUGAAAUUACAAUGCCGGUAAAGAUGCCGGUUACCCGCAGCAAGACGGAAAGACCCCGUGAAGCUUUACUAUAGUUUGAUAUUGAAUCAAAAUUUUGAUUGUAUAGAGUAGGUGGGAGCGCAAGCAAAAGUGUAACACCACCCUGUUAAGGUUUUGAUUCUAACCAUCGUUAAUUCGAAGGGACAGUGUCAGAUGGGUAGUUUAACUGGGGCGGUUGACUCCUAAAUUGUAACGGAGUCGCUCAAAGGUUGGCUUGGCCCGGAUGGAAAUCGGGCUGAAAGUGCAAACGCAUAAGCCAGCUUGACUGCAAGACUUACAAGUCGCGCAGAUGCGAAAGCAGGAGUUAGUGAUCCUCUGGCACAGAGUGAUGUGGCCAGAGCUCAACGGAUAAAAGCUACUCCGGGGAUAACAGGCUGAUCGCGCCCAAUAGUCCACAUAGACGGCGCGGUUUGGCACCUCGAUGUUACAAGUAAUUGUAUAAUAAAUAUGGCUAAUAACGGUGGAACCCUACUUAGGUUUACCGAACACUAAGAGGGUAAUACCGUGGGAAGAAAGAUUAAUUAUGCCAGAAGAAGUAAAAGCCUAUAUUGCAGGUUUUUUAGACGGAGAUGGAUGUUUGAUGGCACAGUUGGUAAAAAGAGAAGAAAACAAAUUUGGUUUUCAAAUUAGGUUAAGCUUGGUUUUUUACCAGCAUGUGCAAAACAUUAAACACCUUGAAUGGUUAAAAUCUCUUUUAAAAGAUGGUUACAUUCGGAAAAGAAAUGAUAACAUGGCUGAAUAUACGAUUGUAGGUAUUAAGCCAGUAAUCAAAGUGAUAGAUGAGAUUUUACCUUAUCUUCGCCUAAAAAAGAAACAAGCACAAAAUUUAUUAUUGUUUAAAGAAAUGGCUUCAAAACCAUCUAAGGAACAAUUUAUUAAAUUUUGUAAGCUUGUGGAUAAUACUGCAAAGUAUAAUUUUUCAAAGAAACGCAAGAUAUUCACACCACAAGUGUUAAGGUAUCUGGAUGAUAAUAAUCUUUCCCCGUAACGACUGAUAGCUGAUUUAGGCAAUCAGCUUGAGUCUCUCCGACAUGAUGUCUGAGGGACAUACGCCAACGCCUUGUUAUUGGUGAAUAACAAGGAUGAAGAUAUAGUCUGCGCCAUUAGUAAUAAUGGAACAAAAGCGAAGACAGUUCGGUCCUAAUCUGCUGUGGGCGUCGAAGUUUGAAGGAAUCUGCUCCUAGUAGGCGCAAGAGCGCCAUGCUACUUUUCCGAGUAAUCGGAAUUGACAAUUCGGCUAAUAACGGUGGAGCCUUCACAAUAUUUAUGGUACAAUAUAGUUAAGUUACUUGAGGACCGUGAAUUUUGAAAGGGAAUACCGUGGGAAGUCGACCAAAAGAUUUAAUGAAAAUUUUUGGUUUGACCCCGUAACGACUGAGUCCGAUGUGACACCGGACGAGAUAUCGAUUUGAUAAGUUAAAGAAAUAUAUCGAUAUCACACGCCGACUCCCGACGCUACGUCGGGAUGAAGAUAUAGUCUAAGCCUUUUAGAAAUAAAAGAGUACUUGACGAGAGGACCGGAGCGGACGAACCUCUGGUGUACCAGUUGUUCUACCAAGAGCAUUGCUGGGUAGCUAUGUUCGGUCGGGAUAACCGCUGAAAGCAUAUAAGCGGGAAGCCCAUCCUAAGAUUAGACUUCAUUAAGGUUCCCAGUAGACCACUGGGUUGAUAGGCUCUAGGUGUAAGAUCCGUAAGGAUUUCAGCCGAGGAGUACUAAUAGACCAAAGAAAAUUAUCUG
Molecule: non-coding RNA, 1819 nt
Organism: Berkelbacteria bacterium GW2011_GWA1_39_10
Lineage: Bacteria; Candidatus Berkelbacteria
Source: Rfam